GAGGGUAUAGCUCAUUGGGUAGAGCAAGUGCUUAGCAUGCAUGAGGUCCUGGGUUCAAUCCCCACUACUUCCU
Molecule: transfer RNA, 73 nt
Filed under: Camelus ferus (Wild Bactrian camel)
Lineage: Eukaryota; Metazoa; Chordata; Mammalia; Artiodactyla; Camelidae
Rfam family: tRNA
About the family: Transfer RNA (tRNA) molecules are approximately 80 nucleotides in length. Their secondary structure includes four short double-helical elements and three loops (D, anti-codon, and T loops).
Source: Rfam by way of RNAcentral